UAUUUUGUAUAGUUUUAUCUAAAAAGAAUAACUUUUGAAAUGUUUUACCAUUUUUAUUUUUAUGAAAUUCACUGAGGAGGAUGGUCUUCCCCUUCGUUCCCACUGGUUCCCACAGUGGACCGGGUUGAAUUAUAAGGGAAGGAGAGACUUGACACUUUCAUUGGCCUUUAUUACAAGCAGCUGCUUUCCUCCAUUUAUUCCCCCAAACUGCACUUUUCUGGAAAAUUCAUUGAAUUAUAAUUUUAUUACCCUCGUGACCCCCUAAAACCCUCCUCAAUCGCCUUUCCUCUCGCAUGUUGCUUCCUCCUUGUCCUCCUUUUCCCCUCUCCCCGAUCCAACCACUGAUCUCCCACUUUUUCUUCCUUCGUUACCUCAAAGCACUGCUCUCACCUCCGUCUGUCUCCCGCUCUCUUCUUGACACUCAGCACAAACCACUAGCCCACGCCGCCAGCCCUCCUCCUCUACUCCUCCUUCCCUACACCUCCUCUCUCCCACGAUCAAGUCGCUUCCAGUUGUUUUUCCUGCUGAAGAAGACAGUUGUCCAAAUGUUUAUGCGAACAACUACUUUAUUUUCCUUAACACCCUGAUCAAGUUCCAAAAUGAACUGCAACAUUUGACGACGUUAUUAUGUGCUUGCUUUUCAAGUCCAGAAGUAUUUUUCAAAGGAAUAUAAGAGAUGGAGAGCAUCAUUAUUGAGGAAACGCAGGAUAAGACGAGAAAUGUUCAGAGGGAAAUAUGCUAAGAAAGAUGCCAGUAAAGUAAACAUGAGUGGAUGAAAUUGCACAAUUGAGCCGGACCACAGCUCCACCAGCCAAGUCAUCUGCUGAGAUGGAGAGGGGGAGAAAGAAUGAGAGAGUUGAAGUACCAGUCAUAGCUUAAGUAAACAACCAUAGAAAAAACUGAGUGUCGGUGAACUGCUGCAUCGUCAGGUUUUCAUGUUGGCGUCUCAGUCUGGGUGCCCUCAGCAUUGGUGUCUUCUUACCAGGCCUUCAAAUCAUCACCCAGUCUCCACAUGACAGAGACAGACAGUCUUUGUUGAAGCAGAGGAGGGAGUUGUGGCUGGUGGCUGCCCCAUGUCUUCUUCAGUGUGUUUCGCUUGGAGCGUUCUGUCUCCACCAGGCAGUGAAAUAGUCAGACCGCAGACCUGAUCAACAGACAAGACAGACUACGAAGACACCGUUUAAUCUAGAAUAUCAUAUUGCCGUUUCUCAAGGCUUGACUCUAUUAAUAUGAUUCAUUUACGGUACUUCUCCUAAAGUGAAUUGACUGAAACAACAAACAACUUAACAGGAAAACACAACUAUUUUGGUUGAAAAUAGCAGUUCAGCUUCGGAUCUAAUCUGGGGUCUAAUAGUCAUGUAUGAGUACACAGAUACACACAGACACAAACAAAAUGCAGACACACGAACAAACACACAGCUGGAUGGCAGACUGCCCUGACACUGUUUGUGACUGGCUGUUCCAGAUUAGAUCAGAUUUAAUUAGGCUUCCCUGCUCCAUUUGGAGUGUCAGUUCUUGUAGAAAAAGUCAUUACUAAAGCAAAGGCAAUGUUACUGACGGCCUGAACUGAACACACACUGAGCCUCCUGCCAGAAUGUCACAAAGCCGAGGGUCCACACACUCCUAAACACACUGCCCAUUUACAUUAAACUCACACACACAACCAAUUUGAUCCCAUAUAGAAAUGGUGGAUUUGGUCCAUCAUCUGAUAAAGAUUACUGGGGUGAUUGAGGUGGAAGUAGAAUUUGAAUUUGUGGUUGCAGAGUAGGAAAGUUCAGCAGGUAUAUAGACUGAAUAGGGAUAGACAGAGUAGGAAAGUUCAGCAGGUAUGUAGACUGAAUAGGGAUAGACAGAGUAGGAAAGUUCAGCAGGUAUGUAGACUGAAUAGGGAUAGACAGAGUAGGAAAGUUCAGCAGGUAUGUAGACUGAAUAGGGAUAGACAGAGUAGGAAAGUUCAGCAGGUAUGUAGACUGAAUAGGGAUAGACAGAGUAGGAAAGUUCAGCAGGUAUGUAGACUGAAUAGGGAUAGACAGAGUAGGAAAGUUCAGCAGGUAUGUAGACUGAAUAGGGAUAGACAGAGUAGGAAAGUUCAGCAGGUAUGUAGACUGAAUAGGGAUAGACAGAGUAGGAAAGU
This is a long non-coding RNA of Oncorhynchus gorbuscha (pink salmon), 2134 nucleotides long. RefSeq lists it as uncharacterized. The record is from RefSeq and is a predicted model, not a curated record. Lineage: Eukaryota; Metazoa; Chordata; Actinopteri; Salmoniformes; Salmonidae. The transcript is spliced from 3 exons.